This 475-nucleotide ribosomal RNA is filed under the name uncultured bacterium. Its description in RNAcentral is "partial 16S ribosomal RNA". It matches the Rfam family "Bacterial small subunit ribosomal RNA", at positions 28 to 507 of the family's 1533-position model. The record is from RNAcentral.
GAUGAACGCUCGCGGCAGGCCUAACACAUGCAAGUCGAGGGAUAAGCCUUCGGGCUAAGCCCGGCGCACGGGUGCGUAACGCGUAUACAAUCUGCCUUUUAUCCGGGGGAUAGCCCGAAGAAAUUUGGAUUAAUACCCUAUGGUAUAAGAGCACGGCAUCGUGCACUUAUUAAAGCUACGGCGGUAAAAGAUGAGUAUGCGUUCUAUUAGCUAGUUGGAGAGGUAACGGCUCCCCAAGGCGACGAUAGAUAGGGGUUCUGAGAGGGAUGUCCCCCACACUGGUACUGAGAUACGGACCAGACUCCUACGGGAGGCAGCAGUGAGGAAUAUUGGACAAUGGUCGGAAGACUGAUCCAGCCAUGCCGCGUGCAGGAUGACGGCCUUAUGGGUUGUAAACUGCUUUUGUAAGGGAAGAAUAAGGAGUACGUGUACUUUGAUGACGGUACCUUACGAAUAAGCAUCGGCUAACUCCGUG